CUCGCCUUUUGGAUUCUCCCUGUUACAACGUUCACACCUCGAAGACCAUUCGCCAGUUCUCUCUGACCUCCUCUCUUGGAUUUCCCCGAAAACACCACCUAUACCGCUCCGCACUUGGACUCGGGUCCGCCGCUUCCUUCUAGACCCAGACAUGACAGAAGGUUCCGCCUGGUAUACGGACCCAGCGGAGCUGAACCAUCUACAGGCGGAGUUGGGCUCUCGUGAAGCACGCUUGACAGAGUCGGAUCACCUACAUACUCUCCCUGCUCACGGGCAGAGCGCUUGAUUGGGUGACAGCACUCUGGACAAAUGACUCACCCACCACAUAUGCGCAGUUCAAGAGCUGGUUCCUCGCCAUUUUCGGACUGGUUCACCCAGAAUAACAUCUGAGUGAAAAACUUAUGGAUCUACAACAAGAUCACCAGAUCAGAACCCAGUCUCAGAACCUGCCCCAGAAAGAUGCUGUCCCGCUCAGGAGGAAGCAGAGCCAAUACGGUUGGGGCUUGGGCGCCUGUCCUCCACAGAACGGCAGCGAAGACUACA
Scleropages formosus (Asian bonytongue) is the source of this 543-nucleotide long non-coding RNA. RefSeq lists it as uncharacterized. NCBI's taxonomy places the organism in Eukaryota, Metazoa, Chordata, Actinopteri, Osteoglossiformes, Osteoglossidae. The transcript has 3 exons. The record is from RefSeq and is a predicted model, not a curated record.